UUUUUCAGUGUCCUACAACCAAUAAAAUUACAGGGUUUCCAGACCGGAUAGGCUAUGGUAAAAGCACAAAAUCAGGAGCCUAGACUAGGAAUAUUCGAGUCAAAACUUAAAUACGCAAGUGAUUCAGCACUAUACAAGAAAACCUAAAUUUGUAUCACUAUACACUCUUUUAGGUUUUUUUUCCCCAAUAUAUACAUGAUACUGGAAUAAUGAAAGUUACCUACAACUGAACGCAUAAUCCCCAGAGAGCAACUAAUGACAAAUAAAAAAAUUGUAGCAGAUGCCAUUAAUAGACGGCAGUUGAAACUUCUACCAGUAGCCUUUCACACUGGCACAUUUGAUGAUUCAAUAUUGGGUAGCAAAACUGCAUGGAAGUUCAGGCACA
This 385-nucleotide unclassified non-coding RNA is filed under the name Hevea brasiliensis (rubber tree). The record is from RNAcentral. Lineage: Eukaryota; Viridiplantae; Streptophyta; Magnoliopsida; Malpighiales; Euphorbiaceae.